RNAcentral lists this ribosomal RNA (108 nucleotides) under Candidatus Organicella extenuata. Lineage: Bacteria; Pseudomonadati; Verrucomicrobiota. The record is from RNAcentral.
UCCGGUAACUAUAGGUUAAAAGGACACACUUGUAACCAUUCCGAACACAAAAGUUAAGCUUUAACCGCUGAGGGUAGUCGUAAAGGCGAGAGUAAGUUAAUACCGGGA